AUUAUUGGACAAUGGGGGCAACCCUGAUCCAGCCAUCCCGCGUGUGUGAGGAAGGUCUUCGGCUUGUAAAGCACUUUAAGUUGGGAGGAAGGGCUUUAGCCUAAUACCCUGAAGUUUUGACGUUACCCACAGAACAAGCACCGGCGAACUCUCUGCCAGCAGCCGCGGUAACACAGAGGGUGCAAGCGUUAAUCGGAAUUACUGGGCUGAAAGCGCGCGUAGGUGGUUCAGUAAGAUGGGUGUGAACUCCCCGGGCCUAACCUGGGUACUGCUUUCAUAACUGCUGAGCUAGAGUACGGUAGAGGGUAGUGGAAUUUCCUGUGUAGCGGUGAAAUGCGUAGAUAUAGGAAGGAACACCAGUGGCGAAGGCGGCUUACUGGACUGUAACUGACGCUGAGGUGCGAAAGCGUGGGGAGCAAAC
Molecule: ribosomal RNA, 421 nt
Filed under: uncultured bacterium
Lineage: Bacteria
Description: partial 16S ribosomal RNA
Rfam family: Bacterial small subunit ribosomal RNA
Source: RNAcentral